Molecule: long non-coding RNA, 1459 nt
Filed under: Homo sapiens (human)
Lineage: Eukaryota; Metazoa; Chordata; Mammalia; Primates; Hominidae
Description: SLC9A3 antisense RNA 1
Source: RNAcentral
GUGCCCACCGCCGGACAUUCUCGCCCUCCUGCCGCAGGAGCUGAGCACGGAUCCCCCGUGGUCCCAGGAGGGGACGAGGAAGCCGCCCCACGGGGUCCCUGCGGGGUCCUCCAGCCCCCAGCCCGCAGUGCCCACCUCCUGCCGCGGCUUGUACAGGCCAGGAGCCACCACAGCCCUGUCUGUGACUCUCAGCUCCCGAGGCUGGGCUCUUCCCCAGGGAAGCUGCAUGACCAUGGCCACAUACAGGAGGUAGGAGACAGAGGCCUCCACGGUGGACGAUCGUGGCGUGAAGUCCACGUUGACCACGUUGUCGGUGCUGGGGGAGCGGAUGAAGGCCAGGGACCCGCGGCGCUCUCCCUGUGGUCAGGAAGCAGCCCGGAGACCCUAAAACUCCAUUGGCCUCAUGUCCAGAACUGAAUCAGCCAGUGCCAGAGCCUGCUGCAGCCCCGACCCGGCAGAGCAAGCGGCUCUGCUACCUCAGCCACGUAGCUGAUGGCAUCCUUCAGGUUCAGCUCGUGGAAGACAUUCAGGAUCCGGUCUCGAGACUUCUGGGCCGACCGUCUCAUGAGGACCCUGCUGAGGAACUUCCUGUCGAAGUGGGACCACCUGUAGGGACAGACCUUGGGUGUGAGCCUCAGGUGACAGGCGCCCUAGAGCCCGCCGGACGCGUGGCCCGGCCCCUUCUCUCCUGAAUUUUGUUUGCUAUAGUGACCCUGUAGGCGCGUUUAAAAUGAGGGAAGCAGCCCCUGCCACACGCCCAGGCCGUCCGCCGUUCUCCCGCCUGUCCUGUUGGAUGGAGGCCGUUAGACGCAUAUGAAACUGCAUGCCGCCUCCUCCAGAGGGUGGCUCAGGACACGGUGGGUGUCAGGCCUGGUCAGGCAAGGGGGCUUUGGCCACAUGGGGGGCACCUUCAGGUGCACAGGAGGAAGGGCAGGGGCGGACAGACACCCUGAGCCCUUAGACUUGUGGGAGCCAAGCUGACCAGAGUGAGGUUUUUUUUAGCCUAACGGAAUUAGAGUAUUCGCUGGUUAUCCAGAUCAGAAGGGACGGUGGCCUGGCCGGACUUAGAGGAAACUCUGGGGCACAAGGAGGUGAUGCCUGUCACUUGGACAUGGGUGCAGCCGCCAGAGCCGCCCUCCAGGGCACAGGGUGGGCCCGGGUGAGCUUGUGUGCUCACACCUGGGCAGGCCCCGCGGCAGCAAUGGCAGCUCUCCUGUACAGGCUGAGUUUCAGCCACACCAAGAAGUCAAAGCUAACCGAGGCUGUGCCUUCCGAGACCCCCGGGAUGGCCCCUGGGAGGCCAAGGAGUCGGGGACUGGGUACCCGGAGCAGAGUCACUGUGGCCACGGAGAACCGCAGCUGAGCUUUAUGAAGCCACGUGGCCACACCUCCCGGUGCCUCCACCCCAAGCAAACACAGAUCGCUCAGAAAAUGGGAACCCAGGGCAAAUUGUAUGUGC